This 253-nucleotide ribosomal RNA is filed under the name uncultured bacterium. Its description in RNAcentral is "partial 16S ribosomal RNA". It matches the Rfam family "Bacterial small subunit ribosomal RNA", at positions 524 to 776 of the family's 1533-position model. The record is from RNAcentral.
UACGUAGGGCGCAAGCGUUGUCCGGAAUUAUUGGGCGUAAAGAGCGCGUAGGCGGUUUGGCGCGUCUGGCGUGAAAGUCCCGGGCUUAACCCCGGAUCUGCGGUGGGUACGGGCAGACUAGAGUGCAGUAGGGGAGACUGGAAUUCCUGGUGUAGCGGUGAAAUGCGGAGAUAUCAGGAGGAACACCGAUGGCGAAGGCAGGUCUCUGGGCUGUAACUGACGCUGAGGAGCGAAAGCAUGGGGAGCGAACAGG